Molecule: ribosomal RNA, 253 nt
Filed under: uncultured bacterium
Lineage: Bacteria
Description: partial 16S ribosomal RNA
Rfam family: Bacterial small subunit ribosomal RNA
Source: RNAcentral
AACGUAGGAGGCGAGCGUUAUCCGGAUUUACUGGGCGUAAAGCGCGCGCAGGCGGCUUCGUGAGUCGGAUGUGAAAGCUCCUGGCUUAACUGGGAGAGGCCAUUCGAUACUGCGGGGCUUGAGGUUGGGAGAGGGGUGCGGAAUUCCCGGUGUAGUGGCGGAAUGCGUAGAGAUCGGGAGGAACACCUGUGGCGAAAGCGGCACCCUGGCCCACACCUGACGCUGAGGUGCGAAAGCGUGGGUAGCAAACAGG